UGUAGAUGUAGGAAAAGGAGUACAAAUUGAUAUAUUGCAAAACAUGAGUACAGAUUACAUACACAUUAUUGAAAGAAAUAUUAUGAGGAUCCUCCGUCAAACUACAUUUCAGAAUCCCAAUAAUAGUUGUAAUAUCUAUUGAAAAUAUAUAGAGCUUAAAUCCUAUCAGGUGCUAUGUUAACCAGAAGUAAAAGGAACAUUUUUCUAGCUAAGGACAUCUCAUUAAAAUUCUGAAAAAGAGGCAAUGCACGGAAGAUGAAUUGCAAAGUCCCCGAAAGAGUCUAUUCUUGACAUUAAAGGUUCCCUGGCACACAACCAAAACCAGAGUUAUAAUUUUCUUGAGAGACCAAUCUAUCAUUACUAGUCUUUUCGUGCAUCGAGUCUUGUGAGGUUAGAACCGACAUAUAUUCCAUAAUUAGCACAUUCACUAUAAUUUCCUUUAUCAACUUUGGCAUUGAAACUUGUGGCAAGAUCAUGCAGGAGGGAGCAUGGAGAAACGAGCUUUUUCAAUAGAAAUUUUUCAUCUAAGCUUGUCGCACAUUCACUCAGUAAAUCUUGUUUAAUGUUUUCCAUUACAUCCAAGAAUUCUGACAUUGUGUCCGAAGGUACACAUCCAGAUGUUACUUGUUCUGAAAUACAGUUCCCAAUGUGGUUCACAAGAUCACUCUUUUACGUAGAUGGAUUUAGACCUGGCACCUUCAGUUGUUCCUGGCUUUUUUUCUCCGAUUAACCAUGCCCUUUAGUGGUUUAAUUUCAUUCAGUUGCACAUGUAUCCAUUACUGGUAACAUUAGACAAUGUGAUUAGUGAAAUUUUGGCUGAAAAUUAUGGAUUGAAAAAAAAUAGUUUUGUGAGAUUAACAUUCAGAAAUGCAUCUUCUAUGGAAACAAGAUGAUAAAUAACUUGGUACUCGCAAUGUCAGCUUUGAUUUUUGUUAUGACUGUAGUUAAUACUUGAAAAAUCAGCUUCACUAAAAAUGUAUUCACAAUAGAGGAGAGUAGUAUUAUACCUUAGAUGGAGAACAUGGCUUCUUAGACACAUGUUCAACAGUUCCACCAAUAGAGUUCUGUAGAGUCGAAAAGCAAAAUAUAAAAGAUACUACAAAGGGUAUAGUCUAAGAUGCACGCCGGUCUUUACUUCCUUUCUUUAAUGAGAACAAGAAAAGGGAAGAACCAGAAUAAAUUGAUAAAGAUUUUAAGACACGAAAAGCAUAAAACGAAGGUACAAAUUGAGAAGAAAAAUGAUCCUAAAACAAAAAAAUUAGCAAUAGUAUAAUUAAUUAUAACCAAACACCUUAUUCAUAGUACAUAAUAUGAGUGAUUGCAAGAAUAAACUUACAUGUGGUCAUUUUUAAUCAUGUAUCCAAGCGUCAUAAACAUAAAAAACUUGCGUUAAAUCUACGAGUAAUGCUAUUUAAUCCGACUGAGGUUGCAUCAUGUGUUCUUUUUUAAUCAUGUUUCCAAGCAUCAUAAACAUAAAAACUUGCAUUAAAUCCAACCCCAGUUUAGAUGGCAUUAAUGUGGCAUUAAAUGAUAAGUGGAAUUAAAUGACUUGCCUUUUACUUAGCCUAUUAUAUAUUGCUACCUAAACUAAAAUUGCAACUCCAGUGAGGUUACAUAGCAUUAUUCUUAAUCUACUGCCAUUUCUCACUCUUUGGAUAUGUAUACACUAUACGUACACCACUUCCAUCUUAUACACACAUCAAAUUAGUGGGUCUCUUUGCCAUCUGUAUCAGCUAUCAAUUAACAAAUUUACACCGACUAAAUCUAGGAGUGUACGAAAUAUGAGGGAGGCUUAAAUUUAAAAAAGGUGAUAACCAAUGACAGUUUUCAGAAUGUAUACAAUACGCACGUAGAGAGAAAAUCUCAUUCUAAUGUGCUACGCCAUGUUAAAAUAUUUGCGAGUCCCUACAAUGAAGAGAAAAUUAAAAGCGAAGACAUUAAAAUAACAUUUCUUAACUUCAACGAGUAUAAAUUAACUGAAAUUAUCAUUGGGUUUGUGCUUCACCACCCCAUUAUCUUUGUCAUUGUUAUUUUUAGUAUAACUCAACUAGCAUUUAGCCUUUGAUAACUUCAAUAAUUUGCAGUCAUGUGUUACCAACCCAGGGGGAGUAGUUAAUAUUUAAAGUGCAGAUAAGGAAGAAAAUAAAGUAUUUAGUUUUUUCCCGGAUAAAUUAAAUUCGAAAGGAAAGCUACGGUUUACCACAACUAAAAAAUAGGUAUUAAUAUGUUCAGGCGUAGUAAAAUGUUAAUAUACUCUAGUUUCAAGAAAGGAGCAAAAAGAAAAGAAAAAGAGGACAGAUGCAAAAUUGUUUGGAUCUAUGAACACACAGGGCAAGAGCGUAAGCAAAUUAAUAAAUGAAAAUGAUAUCUAAUUUGUUUUAAAAUAUUAUGGCUGAAGAAUUUGAAAACGGGAAUUGAGAAGAUCAAGUUAAUAUAUAGUCGUACCUUUUUUCCUAUACCUUCCAUACCAACUCUUGCAGUACAAUUUUUUUGAAAUUUCAAUACGGGGCACCUUAUCUUCUGUAUCGAAGCAAAAGUUCCCAUUUGUAGUUGGCCUCUUCAUGUUGAAGAAUUCUCCAGCCAUUUUCUUUUAUAGAUUCCAUUAUCUAGAAAUUGGAGCAGCAGCCACAUUCAACCACCAGGGUG
Molecule: long non-coding RNA, 2646 nt
Filed under: Olea europaea subsp. europaea
Lineage: Eukaryota; Viridiplantae; Streptophyta; Magnoliopsida; Lamiales; Oleaceae
Source: RNAcentral